Molecule: ribosomal RNA, 481 nt
Filed under: uncultured Plesiocystis sp.
Lineage: Bacteria; Pseudomonadati; Myxococcota; Nannocystales; Nannocystaceae
Description: bacterial SSU rRNA
Rfam family: Bacterial small subunit ribosomal RNA
Source: RNAcentral
AGCGAACGUUUGCGGCGGGCCUAACACAUGCAAGUCGAACGAGAAGCCCUUCGGGGUGGAAAGUGGCGCACGGGUGCGUAACACGUGGAUAACCAACCCUCUGGUUCGGGAUAACACCGGGAAACUGGUGCUAAUACCGAGUGAGUCCAAGAGUUCAUCAGGAUUCUUGGAGAAAGGCACGCAAGGGCUGCCAGAGGACGGGUCCGCGUCCCAUCAGCUAGUUGGUGAGGUAAUGGCUCACCAAGGCGAAGACGGGUAGCUGGUCUGAGAGGAUGAUCAGCCACACUGGAACUGAGACACGGUCCAGACUCCUACGGGAGGCAGCAGUGGGGAAUAUUGCGCAAUGGGCGAAAGCCUGACGCAGCCACGCCGCGUGAGCGAUGAAGGUCCUAGGAUCGUAAAGCUCUGUGGAGGGAGAAGAAUAAAGCCGGUGAAGAGCCGGCCCUGACGGUAUCCCUUUAGCAAGCACCGGCUAACUCCG